AUUGAACGCUGGCGGCAUGCCUUACACAUGCAAGUCGAACGGCAGCGCGGGGCAACCUGGCGGCGAGUGGCGAACGGGUGAGUAAUAUAUCGGAACAUACCCUAGAGAGGGGGAUAACGUAGCGAAAGUUACGCUAAUACCGCAUACGCACUAAGGUGGAAAGUGGGGAUCUUCGGACCUCAUGCUCAUGGAGUGGCCGAUAUCUGAUUAGCUAGUUGGUGAGGUAAAGGCUCACCAAGGCGACGAUCAGUAGCUGGUUUGAGAGAACGACCAGCCACACUGGAACUGAGACACGGUCCAGACUCUACGGGAGGCAGCAGUGGGAAUUUUGGACAAUGGGGCAACCCUGAUCCAGCAAUGCCGCGUGAGUGAAGAAGGCC
RNAcentral lists this ribosomal RNA (380 nucleotides) under uncultured bacterium. Its description in RNAcentral is "bacterial SSU rRNA". It matches the Rfam family "Bacterial small subunit ribosomal RNA", at positions 30 to 416 of the family's 1533-position model. The record is from RNAcentral.